This 76-nucleotide transfer RNA is filed under the name Actinomycetota bacterium. Its description in RNAcentral is "Actinobacteria bacterium tRNA-Arg". It matches the Rfam family "tRNA". Rfam says of the family: Transfer RNA (tRNA) molecules are approximately 80 nucleotides in length. Their secondary structure includes four short double-helical elements and three loops (D, anti-codon, and T loops). The record is from RNAcentral. Lineage: Bacteria; Bacillati; Actinomycetota. RNAcentral also lists the same sequence under 1 other name.
GCCCCUUUAGCUCAGUGGAUAGAGCGUCUACCUCCGGCGUAGAAGGUCGCAGGUUCGAAUCCUGUAGGGGGUACCA